AUUGAACGCUGGCGGCAUGCCUUACACAUGCAAGUCGAACGGUAACAGGUCUUCGGAUGCUGACGAGUGGCGAACGGGUGAGUAAUACAUCGGAACGUGCCUAGUAGUGGGGGAUAACUACUCGAAAGAGUGGCUAAUACCGCAUGAGAUCUACGGAUGAAAGCAGGGGAUCGCAAGACCUUGUGCUACUAGAGCGGCCGAUGGCAGAUUAGGUAGUUGGUGGGAAAAAAGCUUACCAAGCCGACGAUCUGUAGCUGGUCUGAGAGGACGAUCAGCCACACUGAGACUGAGACACGGCCCAGACUCCUACGGGAGGCAGCAGUGGGGAAUUUUGGACAAUGGGCGAAAGCCUGAUCCAGCAAUGCCGCGUGCAGGAUGAAGGCCUUCGGGUUGUAAACUGCUUUUGUACGGAACGAAAAGCCCCGGGUUAAUACCCUGGGGUCAUGACGGUACCGUAAGAAUAAGCACCGGCUAACUACGUGCCAGCAGCCGCCGUAA
This 498-nucleotide ribosomal RNA is filed under the name uncultured bacterium. RNAcentral's name for it is "partial 16S ribosomal RNA". It matches the Rfam family "Bacterial small subunit ribosomal RNA", at positions 30 to 523 of the family's 1533-position model. The record is from RNAcentral.